Molecule: ribosomal RNA, 285 nt
Filed under: uncultured bacterium
Lineage: Bacteria
Description: partial 16S ribosomal RNA
Rfam family: Bacterial small subunit ribosomal RNA
Source: RNAcentral
GUCCCUACGGGACGCAGCAGUGGGGAAUAUUGCACAAUGGGGGAAACCCUGAUGCAGCGACGCCGCGUGAGUGAAGAAGUAUUUCGGUAUGUAAAGCUCUAUCAGCAGGGAAGAAGAAAGACGGUACCUGACUAAGAAGCCCCGGCUAACUACGUGCCAGCAGCCGCGGUAAUACGUAGGGGGCAAGCGUUAUCCGGAUUUACUGGGUGUAAAGGGAGCGUAGACGGAGAAGCGAGUCUGAAGUGAAAGCCCGUGGCUUACCCACGGGACUGCUUUGGAAACUGU